UACGAGGGGGGCAAGCGUUGUUCGGAAUUAUUGGGCGUAAAGGGCGCGUAGGCGGUUUGGCAAGUUUGGUGUGAAAUCUUCGGGCUCAACUCGAAGUCUGCAUCGAAAACUGCCGGGCUUGAGUAUGGGAGAGGUGAGUGGAAUUUCCGGUGUAGCGGUGAAAUGCGUAGAUAUCGGAAGGAACACCUGUGGCGAAAGCGGCUCACUGGACCAUAACUGACGCUGAGGCGCGAAAGCUAGGGGAGCAAACAG
Molecule: ribosomal RNA, 252 nt
Filed under: uncultured bacterium
Lineage: Bacteria
Description: partial 16S ribosomal RNA
Rfam family: Bacterial small subunit ribosomal RNA
Source: RNAcentral